This is a long non-coding RNA of Rosa rugosa (rugosa rose), 1055 nucleotides long. RefSeq lists it as uncharacterized. Lineage: Eukaryota; Viridiplantae; Streptophyta; Magnoliopsida; Rosales; Rosaceae. The record is from RefSeq and is a predicted model, not a curated record. The transcript is spliced from 6 exons.
ACCCUACAACAUUAUCUCUUCGACCCUUCCCUCAACUCUCACUCUCUCGGUCUCCACUCUCCAACCUAGAAACAGAAACAGAGAAGCCGCAAUUGAGCAAUCCUUAUCAUCAAAACCCAGAUGAGCGAGACGACCUCCCUCAAAGUCUGGAACCCAGAAACAUCGCGUCUUCUAUUUGUGUUGGCCAUCUGGGAUUUGGUUGAUGCAGCCCCGUCUGGGAUUUGUUUGAUGAACCAUCUGGGAUUUGGUUGAUUCCUGCAGUGAGUGCAAUCCAAUUUCAUUCUUGAUCAGAUUUCCAAAUUUCUCCCAACCCAGUUCAAAGGCUUUACAGGUGAUUGAGCAAAACCCAGAGCCCGAGAACAAGCAGAGAGACAAAAGUUGGAAAAGUUGGAAAAGUUGGUGAUAUAGGCUUUACAGGUGAUUGAGCAAAACCCAGAACCCGAGAACAAGCAGAGAGACAAAAGGAAAUAUUGAAGUUGUACAUACACUUUCUACCUUGGAGAUCUACUUCCAUGUUUGAAGCAUCUGCUAGCUCCUCUGACCCAUCCGUUUCCAAUUCUGAACCAUCCGCUUGCAAUGAAAUUGUGGUUGCAGUCAACCAAGAAGAAAAAGCAGAAAAAAUGAUUCAAUUCACUCAAUAAUCAAGGCUGCAUAAAGAUUUAGUAUUGACUGAAGGCUGAAGCCUUGUUGCAUUGAGGAAGAGGAAGCUAUGCUGGAAAUAUGUUUGCAGUUGUGCACUUUGAUGAAAUAUUGAAUUAUUGAUGGACUAUUUCAAUUUUAGGUUAUUUGUUUCAGUUUGAGACUUUGAAUUGCUCAGUUUCAGACUUUCAGUAUUUUAGUUUGCUGCAAAUUGAUGCACCUGCAUUGUUCAAAUUGGACAGUCUAUUGUUUGUUUUUAUUUGCUGCAGUUUGCUGGAAAUGUGUAUUAUUGCAGACUUGCAACUUUGCAUUGUUCUGUAAUUCUGCUAUUUUGCAGUUCUGCAGUUUGCAGACUUUGAGUUUGUAGUUGUAUUGCUGGAAAUUGCUUGAGUGUUGAGUGUUUGAUAGUUUGCAGA